This 207-nucleotide long non-coding RNA is filed under the name Elaeis guineensis (African oil palm). RNAcentral describes it as "long non-coding RNA (EGUI_LNC082203)". The record is from RNAcentral. Lineage: Eukaryota; Viridiplantae; Streptophyta; Magnoliopsida; Arecales; Arecaceae.
GUCAGUUCUCUGCCUCAACAAGAAUGGAGUGCUUAAACGAAAAUUUUAGUAAAAUUUUUGGUAUAGAAAUUAGAGCUUAGAGAAUAACGUAUCUGGGCCCCCCUUUUUAUAGGCGGGGAGAGCAACGGAUUGAUAGCGAUUGUUUGUAACUGCCUCGUCGUGGGCUGCACGGGGCCAGGAGGAAUUUAUGAUGAAGAGCAAUGGGGU